CAGUCGCCGCGGUAAUACGUAGGUCCCGAGCGUUGUCCGGAUUUAUUGGGCGUAAAGCGAGCGCAGGCGGUUAGAUAAGUCUGAAGUUAAAGGCUGUGGCUUAACCAUAGUACGCUUUGGAAACUGUUUAACUUGAGUGCAGAAGGGGAGAGUGGAAUUCCAUGUGUAGCGGUGAAAUGCGUAGAUAUAUGGAGGAACACCGGUGGCGAAAGCGGCUCUCUGGCUUGUAACUGACGCUGAGGCUCGAAAGCGUGGGGAGCAAACAGGAUUAGAUACCCCAGUAGUCCCUGUCUCUUAUACA
This 301-nucleotide ribosomal RNA is filed under the name uncultured bacterium. RNAcentral's name for it is "partial 16S ribosomal RNA". It matches the Rfam family "Bacterial small subunit ribosomal RNA", at positions 509 to 808 of the family's 1533-position model. The record is from RNAcentral.